GUGUGCAGCACAUAUACUAAAAUUGGAACGAUACAGAGAAGAUUAGCAUGGCCCCUGUGCACAGAUGACUCUCUUCAUAUUUUUAAUAGCUCUUAAGUGUU
This 101-nucleotide small nuclear RNA is filed under the name Saimiri boliviensis boliviensis (Bolivian squirrel monkey). The record is from RNAcentral. Lineage: Eukaryota; Metazoa; Chordata; Mammalia; Primates; Cebidae.